UGAUCCAUGGUGUAACGGUAACACGACAGAUUUUGGUUCUGUAAUUUGAGGUUCGAAUCCUUGUGGGUCAA
This 71-nucleotide transfer RNA is filed under the name Caudoviricetes sp. Its description in RNAcentral is "tRNA-Gln". It matches the Rfam family "tRNA". Rfam says of the family: Transfer RNA (tRNA) molecules are approximately 80 nucleotides in length. Their secondary structure includes four short double-helical elements and three loops (D, anti-codon, and T loops). Further hydrogen bonds mediate the characteristic L-shaped molecular structure. tRNAs have two regions of fundamental functional importance: the anti-codon, which is responsible for specific mRNA codon recognition, and the 3' end, to which the tRNAs corresponding amino acid is attached (by aminoacyl-tRNA synthetases). tRNAs cope with the degeneracy of the genetic code in two manners: having more than one tRNA (with a specific anti-codon) for a particular amino acid; and 'wobble' base-pairing, i.e. permitting non-standard base-pairing at the 3rd anti-codon position. Lineage: Duplodnaviria; Heunggongvirae; Uroviricota; Caudoviricetes. The record is from RNAcentral.